GGUAGCACGGGGGWAGCUUGCUCYCUGGGUGACGAGCGGCGGACGGGUGAGUAAUGUCUGGGAAACUGCCUGAUGGAGGGGGAUAACUACUGGAAACGGUAGCUAAUACCGCAUAACGUCUACGGACCAAAGUGGGGGACCUUCGGGCCUCACGCCAUCAGAUGUGCCCAGAUGGGAUUAGCUAGUAGGUGGGGUAAUGGCUCACCUAGGCGACGAUCCCUAGCUGGUCUGAGAGGAUGACCAGCCACACUGGAACUGAGACACGGUCCAGACUCCUACGGGAGGCAGCAGUGGGGAAUAUUGCACAAUGGGCGCAAGCCUGAUGCAGCCAUGCCGCGUGUGUGAAGAAGGCCUUCGGGUUGUAAAGCACUUUCAGCGAGGAGGAAGGGCGAUGUCUUAAUACGGCAUCGCAUUGACGUUACUCGCAGAAGAAGCACCGGCUAACUCCGUGCCAGCAGCCGCGGUAAUACGGAGGGUGCAAGCGUUAAUCGGAAUUACUGGGCGUAAAGCGCACGCAGGCGGUUUGUUAAGUCAGAUGUGAAAUCCCCGCGCUUAACGUGGGAACUGCAUUUGAAACUGGCAAGCUAGAGUCUCGUAGAGGGGGGUAGAAUUCCAGGUGUAGCGGUGAAAUGCGUAGAGAUCUGGAGGAAUACCGGUGGCGAAGGCGGCCCCCUGSACGAAGACUGACGCUC
RNAcentral lists this ribosomal RNA (692 nucleotides) under Serratia sp. (in: enterobacteria). RNAcentral's name for it is "bacterial SSU rRNA". It matches the Rfam family "Bacterial small subunit ribosomal RNA", at positions 68 to 748 of the family's 1533-position model. The record is from RNAcentral. Lineage: Bacteria; Pseudomonadati; Pseudomonadota; Gammaproteobacteria; Enterobacterales; Yersiniaceae.